Molecule: ribosomal RNA, 643 nt
Filed under: uncultured Brevundimonas sp.
Lineage: Bacteria; Pseudomonadati; Pseudomonadota; Alphaproteobacteria; Caulobacterales; Caulobacteraceae
Description: bacterial SSU rRNA
Rfam family: Bacterial small subunit ribosomal RNA
Source: RNAcentral
GUGGGAACGUGCCUUUAGGUUCGGAAUAACUCAGGGAAACUUGUGCUAAUACCGAAUGUGCCCUUCGGGGGAAAGAUUUAUCGCCUUUAGAGCGGCCCGCGUCUGAUUAGCUAGUUGGUGGGGUAAUGGCCCACCAAGGCUACGAUCAGUAGCUGGUCUGAGAGGAUGACCAGCCACAUUGGGACUGAGACACGGCCCAAACUCCUACGGGAGGCAGCAGUGGGGAAUCUUGCGCAAUGGGCGAAAGCCUGACGCAGCCAUGCCGCGUGGAUGAUGAAGGUCUUAGGAUUGUAAAAUCCUUUCACCGGUGAAGAUAAUGACUGUAGCCGGAGAAGAAGCCCCGGCUAACUUCGUGCCAGCAGCCGCGGUAAUACGAAGGGGGCUAGCGUUGCUCGGAAUUACUGGGCGUAAAGGGAGCGUAGGCGGACAUUUAAGUCAGGGGUGAAAUCCCAGAGCUCAACUCUGGAACUGCCUUUGAUACUGGAUGUCUUGAGUGUGAGAGAGGUAAGUGGAACUCCGAGUGUAGAGGUGAAAUUCGUAGAUAUUCGGAAGAACACCAGUGGCGGAGGCGACUUACUGGCUCAUUACUGACGCUGAGGCUCGAAAGCGUGGGGAGCAAACAGGAUUAGAUACCCUGGUAGUC